Non-coding RNA from Monodelphis domestica (gray short-tailed opossum), 6092 nucleotides. The record is from RefSeq and is a predicted model, not a curated record. NCBI's taxonomy places the organism in Eukaryota, Metazoa, Chordata, Mammalia, Didelphimorphia, Didelphidae.
AAGGAAUUCUACAAAGGGAAGUCAAUGGUGGAGCUCUUUGGAGGAGAGCUGUCAAGCCUUGAUAAGUACUUUAUGUAAAUAAAGAAUUCAUAACAUAUGCAUAAUCGAAACAUCAAACAGGUUGAGGGACUCAGGAUGAGCAUCAACCUUCUGCAAAGAGGCCACUAUACACUUAGCUGACCUUCAUGUUGUCUGGUUUCACACUGCACCUAUCAAUCAGCACAGUCAACCUCCACUUAGGAACAGGAAGACCCGAGAAGAGGGAGAGAGAUGGGGAACAGCCAAUCCAUGGAGCAGUCAGAAUAUAAGCAACAACUAUCAUAAUAUUGCCAUCUUAUAUGGAAAUAUGGCACAAACCUGUUAUCCCCAGGUGAGAAGACAGGAGAAUUCGGUGCGAUCACAUGUUGAGGAAACUGAGGCAGAUGAGAACAAUUCUACUGCCUCUGAAAGCAGCCCAAGCAAGUGCUCUGGAGCACUUAGAACUUGGUCAGACACUGAAGAUCUCAAGGUCAUUCACUGCAUCCUGGACCAUUAAUAGUCAUCUUAACAACAUCUUAACAUUUGUCCUGCCACUGGACUUCAAGGACUGUAGAAGAGAAAGCAAGGCUGACAACUUUGUGCUGCUCUGCCUCACUUAAAUGCAACUCCUAUGCAAGUCAAGACAUCAACCUUGCCAUGUCACCAGUCAUCUUUGAAAACAAAGGAAAAACAACAACUACAACCUGCCCAGGGCCACACAACUAUUAAGGAUCUGAGGUCAUAUUUGUUUUUUGGUUUUUUGUUUUCAUUUUUAUGAGGUUAUAUUUGAACUGAGGGCUUCUUAUCUUCAACCAGUGCUCUUCUUCACCAGCCUACCUAUGCUUCAGGACUAAAUAACCCAAAGGUUCCUUUCAACUCUAAAUCUCUGAACCCUCUCAUUUUGCCAAAAGAAAAAAUGGCACCCAAGGGCCUUACCUGACGUGCCUAUGGUCAUGUAGUUGCAGAACCCAGUUCCUCUGACUCUACAGUCCAGCACUCUAUUCAUGUCACCGUGCUGCCUCUUUAGAUCUCAUCUAACUCAAUCCAGAACUUCUGCAUUCCUCACAAUUGGUUAUCCAAAAGACCUCCAGGGAAUGCAGCAGAUAGCCUUAUACCUGGAAUCAGGAAAACCUGACUUCAAAACCUGUUGGCAGAUGCUUCACAAGUGAGUGACCCAGGGUAAGUGAAUUAACCUGUCAGCCUCUGUUUCCUCAUCUGUAAAAUUAAGACAUAGCACAUACCUCAAUGUAUUAUUGUGAGGAUUAAGUAAGAUAAUAUAUAUAAAAUGCUUGCAAAUCUUAAGUGCUAUCUAUAUAAGAGUACUAAAAAGAAAGCUGUGGCUCAAUGGUUAAGACCAUUGGGCCAGGAACUGGGAAUACCUUAGUUCAAAUCUGACCUCAGACGUUGCCUAGCUGUGUGACCUUGACAAGUAACAACCUCUGUUAACCUGACAAAAGGAUUCACUGGAUCCACUGGAGAAGGAAAUGACAAACCACUUUAGUAUCUUUGCCCAAGAAAACCCCAUAAUAGCUCUGGUCUAAGAGAUGAACAUAAGUGAUCAACAACAAGCACAAGUUAUAAUAUUUCUUUUUUUUCUUAUUGGUGAUGUUUUUAAGUGUUGCUACUGUUUUCCAAGGACUCCACUCCAACAACAAAAACUUCCUUUUAUCAGAGAAGUACAAUUAAGCAAAACAAAUCAACACACUUGACGUGUCUAGCAACAUAUGACUCAUUCUGUACCUGUGGUCCAUCACUUCUCUACCAAAAAGAGGAAGGCAUGCUUCGUCUUUAGUACUUUGAAUCCAUGACUUGACCCAAUAUUGAUGAAAGUUUUAAUGUUCCAGUGUUGUUUUUCUUUGUUAUUGUGAUCUCAAGAUUUAUUAAGGAAUUGACUAUCCUUCUAUGUGCCCCUUUCCAAAUACCUUCCUUAAAGAUGAUGUCCAGAGUCUGGACCAUGAGUGAUGUCUACUAAAGCAGCUACUUAAAUGACCGAACAAGAGAGUUUUGCUUCCUCAACUCUGCGAAGUAAAUGCUUCUAAUAUCUUGUCCCUUUUCUUAGAUGAGGAACUGAGACUGGGCAUGGUUGAAUCAUUUGCCAUGAUCAAAUAGUUCUCCAGAAUUUACUAGACUAGAAAAACGGGUCUGAGAAGAUAAACCAAAUCCAGUUGGGUUAAAGCAAUCAAAAUAUCAAGGGAAAAUCACUAAGAUAUAUCCAGUAGCAAGUGACCAAAGAGAAAAAUGGAGCCCAGAGCCAUCUCUUCUAUGGUCAACAAGAAUUGGGCUUAUGGUUUUGUCCUAGUAUUUUAAAAAUGCAACAUGCCUUUUAUCAUGUUUAUUUGUGCACCUGUCACAGAAUGCCUCUUCCUCUGUUAGAUCAGAAGCUUCUUGAAGGCAGGACUGUGUUCUUUCUUGCCUUUGUAACACUGUCUUCCAGGGAGUAGGAUUAUAUUUUUAGAACUGGAAAGGUUCUUAGGGUUCAUCUCAUACAAAUCACUAAAGUGGCUAAGAGAUUUGUCUAGAGUCAAAAAGCUAGUAAAUAAAUGUUCUAUCUGUGAUCCACACCCACGCCCUCCAACUCCUGAUUCAAGGUUCUGAGGUGCUUAAUGAAUGUUUAUUGACUUGAAUUUAUAAUAUGCAAAUGAUAAAGUAAGAGAAAGAAUUCAUUUUAAAAUUUUUGAUCUUUACCAUGAAUUUUCCCAUCUACAUAACAGUAAACGUUUUCUGAAUUCUGUUAUAAAAAUCCAUGAAGGGCACUUAAUAGGUUUCAGCAUUCAUUAGGGAAGAUUCAGAAGUGCCUUUGAUGGUUGUGUCCAGCUUGGAUCCAAUAAAUAUUACAUUCUCUAGACAUCCAUCAAUUCCCUUCAAACCACUUACAAAAGAUGUUUUUAAACUGCUAAUAAUUCUCAAGUGACCCUUAAUAUGACAAUCUUUUUGACUCUAUGGGAAGAUAAAAUCAAGAGCCUUACAAUGUAAUAUAACAAAUGAAUUUAUAACUGUUUAAUCAGGCAAAAAUGCAGAAUGAACAUUUAUUGAACUAUUUUCAUGUGUCCACCCUAACCCCCCAAAGAGAGAGCUAAUUACAUCGGGCAGUUACAUGAUAUUUCCAGCUCACACAUAUGAGGAUACUUAUGUCCCCAGUGAUUUGCUAUUGAGAUGUAAGUUGGUAAACAAAUAUCUCGCUUCAUCAAGUCAUAUUAGUUAGAUCCAUAGUUUUUCUUCUUCAAGGUAUAAGCGAACCCUUAGCUCAAUGUUGUUUCAGCCCAAAUCAGUCAUUUAAAAAUUAUUAUACUAAUAAACAAAGUUUAGUAAGACAUUAAAAAAGGAGUCACAAUGCUAAAAAAAAACUCAAGUUGUUAGUUUACUAUAAUAAGCUAAGUGUUAGAGAAAAUGAACCACAAAGGCAACCAGGAAAGCAGGUCCUGUCUGUCUACUGUGACCAUAUUGAUUAGCUGUCCUAGACCCAGAAACAUUUAGUCUACAAGUAAAUUGGCUGAUGAUAAUUCUGUCUUUUGAUCAGCAGAAAUUGUAUGCCCAAUGGCACCUUCUGAUACUCUUUUCUUCUUUAUUCUAUGGGUGAAGAAACUGAGGUGCAUCUAGGUUAUAUGACCUUAUCCAAGGUCUCAUAGGUAAUAAAAAUAAGAGGCAAGAUUUGAACUCGAGUCCUCUGACCCCAGAGUUUAUACAGCUAAUUUAAUUUAUAUUUUAAGUAGGACUGGUCUUUGAGGACAAGUAAGUGAUAUAGUGGAUAAAAGGCCAGGCCUGGAGGCAGGAAGACUUCAGUUCAAAUAUGACCUUAGAUACUAGCUGUAUGAUCCUGGUUAAGUCACUUAACCCUGUUUGCCUUAGUUUCUUCAUCUAUAAAAUGAGCUGGAGAAGGAAAUGGCAAACCAUUCCAGUAUCUUUGUCAAAAAAAUCCAAAAUGUGGUCAUUAAGAGUCGGAUAAGACUGAGACAACAGCUGCAAAGCCAUCCUCUUCAAAGGUAGAACCUCUGAAGGGACUUGGGACUCAUGGCAUAAGAACAAACAAUUUGGGAUCUGGUGAAAAUUGGUCCUCAGGAGGAAAUAUGGUUUCUUCUAGUCAGCAUCUGGUUGCUAAUGGAGACCUUUGACCAUAUCCAGCCUCAGCUAUCUUGUCAUGGAAUGAGGAAAGAGAACUCAGUAGUCAGCCACAGCUGGUAUUAUCUCUCUUCAACCUUAAACUCAUCUUUCUAUGUCCUGGCACCUGUUCCAUCCUGUUGCCAUUCCCCAAACAGAGCCUAGGGGUUCUGGGCAGCACGGUGGGAAAGAGGCAAUCAGACUGAGGAAACAUGGACAAAACAUAAAACAUAAAAUAAAAUAGCCCCUUGCCCUCAAGGAGUUUACAUUCUACCAGGCAAUAUGACACAUACACAAGCAAAUAAAUAUACCUAAAUAUUGUAUUCAUUUUGCUCUUUUCUUAGUGAAUGGUAUAAUGGUGGUCUAUACUUUGUUUCUGUCUGACUACUCUCCAGUUGUCCCAGCAAUUUUUUCCAAAUAAUGAUUUCUUAUUCCCAAAACCUUCAGGUUACUAUAAUCUUUUACUACUGUUUGUUGUAUCUCUCUGUCUUGUUCCAUUGAUCUCUCUCUUUCUUAGCCAGGAUCUGGUAGUUUUGAUAAUUCCUGCUUUAUAAUACAAUUUUAAAUCUGCUAAUGCUAGACUUUUUUGGAUUUUUUUCAUUAACUCUUUUAGUAUUCUUGGUCUUUUGUUCUUCUUAAUGAAUUUUGUUUUGGUUUUUUUCCUAGCUCAAGUAAAAUAAGGUGUUGUUUUUUUUUUUGUAAUCUAAUUGGGAUGACAUUGAACAAGUAUAUUAGUUUAGGUAGGAUUAUCAUUUCAAUUAUACUGACUCUGCCUAUCCAUGAACAAUUAAUGUUUCUCCAAUUAUUUAGAUCCAGCUUUAUUUGUGUAAAAAGUGUUUUAUAAUUAUAUUUAUGUAGUUCUUGGGUUUGUUUUAGCCAGUAUAUUUCCAGGUAUUCUAUCUGUGGUUAUUUUAUAUGGAAUAUCUCUAUCUCUUCUUGUAGAACUUUGUUAGUAAUAGAUUAAAAUGUUGAUGAUUUAUUUUGUAUAUUGCUAUUUUGCUAAAAUUAUUGAUAGUUUCAACUAACUUUCUAGUUGACUCUCUAGGAUUUUCCACAUGUACCAUCAUGUCAUCUGCAGAGAUAGUUUUAUUAUCUCUUUGUCCAUUAUGAUAUCCUUUGAUUUAUUUUUCUUCUCUUAUUGUUAUUACUAACAUUUCCAAUACUGUGUUAAAUCAUACUGAUGAUAAUGAGCAUCCUUGUUUCACUCCUGAUCUUAUUGGGAAGGUUUCUAGCUUGUCCCCCAGACUUGCUGAUGGUUUUAGAUAGAUGCUUCAUGUAAUUUUAAGGAAAAAAAAUCCAUUUAUACCUGUCCUUUCCAGUAUUUUUAAUAGGAAUGUGUUCCAUUUUGUCAAAGGUUUAUUCUGCAUCUAUUAUAUGAUCUAUGGUUUUCAUUACUUUUGUUACUAAUAUAAUCAAUUAUGUUGAUAGUUUUCCUUUAUUUAAACCAUCUCUGAAUUCCUGAUAUAAAUCCUGUUUGGUCACAAUGUAUAAUCUGUUAUAUAUUGUUGUAGUCUCCUAAUUAGUAUUUUAUUUAGGAUUUGUGCAUCCAUAUUCAUUAAUUAAAUUUGUCUACAAUUUUCUUUGUUUUUAAAACUCUCCCUGGUUUAGUAUCAUAUUUGUUUCAUAAAAGUAAUUUGAUAAAACUCCUCCUUCAUCUGUUACUUCAAGGAACUUAUUUAAUAUUGGAAUGAGUUGAUCUUUGAAUGUUUGGAAGAAUUCACUGGUAAACUCAUCUGGUCCUAAUGUUUUUUUUUUCCUUAGGAAGUUCAUUUAUAACUGGUUCAAUUUCUUUUUUCUAAAAUAGAUUUAUUUAGAUAUUCUAUUUCCUCCUCUGAGAUUCUAGACAGUUUAUUUUUUGUCAACAUCCUUCUACUUCACUUACUUUGUUCAACUUAUGUGCAUAUAAUUGAGCAAAAUAACUCCUAAUAAUUACUUUAAUUUCAUCUUCAUUGGUACCAUAAUCACUCUUUUCAUCUUAA